RNAcentral lists this unclassified non-coding RNA (283 nucleotides) under Hevea brasiliensis (rubber tree). The record is from RNAcentral. Lineage: Eukaryota; Viridiplantae; Streptophyta; Magnoliopsida; Malpighiales; Euphorbiaceae.
AAACGGAUGAGAAUGGUGAACAGCCAAGUGCCACAAACUUGGAGGGAACAAACUUAAAAAUCGAUAUCACUGAUGAGCUUGGUCAGAUUGCUGCUCUGGAGAUAAAGUAUCAAUGUACAAAGCAGGAAGUUGAGAGGGCGGUUGUUGCUUGGGAAGGCGAUUUGGAGAAAGCAGAAGCUACUUUGAAGACACAACAAACUGGCAAAAACACAGCCCCAGUUAAAGAUUCAAGCAAUAAGCCGGUGGCCCCCAUUCAAAAUCCUGCUGGGAGAGCAACAGUUAA